CUACGGGACGCUGCAGUGAGGAAUAUUGCACAAUGGGGGGAACCCUGAUGCAGCAACGCCGCGUGGAGGAUGACGCAUUUCGGUGUGUAAACUCCUUUUAUAUGUCAAGAAAAUGACGGUAGCAUAUGAAUAAGCACCGGCUAACUCCGUGCCAGCAGCCGCGGUAAUACGGAGGGUGCAAGCGUUACUCGGAAGCACUGGGCGUAAAGGACGCGUAGGCGGGUUGGAAAGUCAGGUGUGAAAUCCUACAGCUUAACUGUAGAACUGCACUUGAAACUUCUAAUCUAGAGUAUGGGAGGGGGAAAUGGAAUUAGUGGUGUAGGGGUAAAAUCCGUAGAUAUCACUAGGAAUACCUAAAGCGAAGGCGAUCUCCUGGAACAUUACUGACGCUAAGGUGUGAAAGCGUGGGGAGCAAACAGGAUUAGAUACCCGGGUAGUC
This 439-nucleotide ribosomal RNA is filed under the name uncultured bacterium. Its description in RNAcentral is "partial 16S ribosomal RNA". It matches the Rfam family "Bacterial small subunit ribosomal RNA", at positions 339 to 795 of the family's 1533-position model. The record is from RNAcentral.